This is a long non-coding RNA of Syzygium oleosum, 797 nucleotides long. RefSeq lists it as uncharacterized. The record is from RefSeq and is a predicted model, not a curated record. The transcript is spliced from 2 exons. NCBI's taxonomy places the organism in Eukaryota, Viridiplantae, Streptophyta, Magnoliopsida, Myrtales, Myrtaceae.
GGAAGUUGGUCUUCACACGUGACUGACUGAACUAAGGUAGAGUUGUCACACUCCACUUCCAUGAAGACUUCUCUCCCCAUGUUCUCUCUUCUCCAUUCUUUCAUAAAGCGCACACCUUCAAGCAAUGCCAGGGCUUCCGCUUGAAGAGGCGAUUGAGCCCGAAUCAGAAAAGCAAAUCCUCCCGUGAGCUUCCCUGAGGCAUCACGGCACACACCAGCCACCGCACACGACGUAGAGCCAGCAACGAAGGCCGCGUCCACAUUAAGCUUAAGAGCUCCUUUCUCCGGCGGCGUCCAGAUCACAGGAACCAGAGUACUUUGGAAACGAGCUCGAGAGACGGCGAGGCUGGUAAUGCGCCACAAGAGCCAUUUCAUUGAUCACAUUUUCACUGUCUUGCAAACUAUAAGGGCACUUAUGCAAUUUCAUGCAUCUGAAAAUAGAAAUGUGUGUACUAGUUUCUAUUCUUCUUCUACAGCACAACAUCCACAAUUUUUUGUCACUUCUCUAGAUUGUUAGGAUCUAGACAAGAAUUUGAACUCGACUUUAGUGAUUAUGGAUGUGUAAUCCACAUGUAAUAUUAUAUAUUGGGUCCAAGAUAAUCUCUUAGUAAAAAUCACGUAAAAAAAAAACAAUUCAAUGUAGGACCAUCAAGAACCCUUUGAGAAGUAUCUGAUAACUUAAGCAGAACGGAAUUGAGAUUCCAUCUACAAAAUUUUAUCAAGUUUGAGAAAUAAUUAGAAGUUUAUGAAACGAGUUUGGAAUGAUAUCAGCUACUAUGAUUAGGCUCACAAACAUAA